Molecule: ribosomal RNA, 502 nt
Filed under: uncultured bacterium
Lineage: Bacteria
Description: partial 16S ribosomal RNA
Rfam family: Bacterial small subunit ribosomal RNA
Source: RNAcentral
AUUGAACGCUGGCGGCAUGCCUUACACAUGCAAGUCGAACGGCAGCGCGGGAGCUUGCUCCUGGCGGCGAGUGGCGAACGGGUGAGUAAUACAUCGGAACGUACCCAGAAGUGGGGGAUAACGUAGCGAAAGUUACGCUAAUACCGCAUAUUCUGUGAGCAGGAAAGUGGGGGAUCGCAAGACCUCACGCUUUUGGAGCGGCCGAUGUCGGAUUAGCUAGUUGGUGAGGUAAAGGCUCACCAAGGCGACGAUCCGUAGCGGGUCUGAGAGGAUGCUCCGCCACACUGGGACUGAGACACGGCCCAGACUCCUACGGGAGGCAGCAGUGGGGAAUUUUGGACAAUGGGGGCAACCCUGAUCCAGCCAUGCCGCGUGAGUGAAGAAGGCCUUCGGGUUGUAAAGCUCUUUCGCGAGGGAAGAAAGCGCACUGGUUAAUACCUGGUGUGGAUGACGGUACCUUGAUAAGAAGCACCGGCUAACUACGUGCCAGCCGCCGCAGUAA